GAUGAAGACGUAGCGAAAUGCGAUACUUGGUGUGAAUUGCAGAAUCCCGUGAACCAUCGAGUCUUUGAACGCAAGUUGCGCCCGAAGCCAUCAGGUUGAGGGCACGUCUGCCUAGGCGUCACAUAUCGUUGCCCAAUGCCUAUUGCAGUGCAAUAGGAAUUUCUAGGGCGAAUGAUGGCUUCCCGUGAGCGUUGUUGCCUCGCGGUUGGUUGAAAAUCGAGUCCUUGGUAGGGUGUGCCAUGGUAGAUGGUGGUCGAGUUAGAACGAUACCGAUCAUGUGCAUGCUCCCCAAAAUAUGGCCUCUAUGACCCACACGCGUCUUUUGACGCUCAUGACGAGACCUCAGGUCAGGCGGGGCUACCCGCUGAAUUUAAGCAUAUCAAUAAGCGGAGGA
This 394-nucleotide unclassified non-coding RNA is filed under the name soil metagenome. RNAcentral's name for it is "partial contains 5.8S ribosomal RNA, internal transcribed spacer 2, and large subunit ribosomal RNA". The stretch from base 1 to 121 matches the Rfam family "5.8S ribosomal RNA", at positions 35 to 154 of the family's 154-position model. The record is from RNAcentral.